Molecule: transfer RNA, 71 nt
Filed under: Streptococcus pneumoniae
Lineage: Bacteria; Bacillati; Bacillota; Bacilli; Lactobacillales; Streptococcaceae
Description: tRNA-Gly
Rfam family: tRNA
About the family: Transfer RNA (tRNA) molecules are approximately 80 nucleotides in length. Their secondary structure includes four short double-helical elements and three loops (D, anti-codon, and T loops). Further hydrogen bonds mediate the characteristic L-shaped molecular structure. tRNAs have two regions of fundamental functional importance: the anti-codon, which is responsible for specific mRNA codon recognition, and the 3' end, to which the tRNAs corresponding amino acid is attached (by aminoacyl-tRNA synthetases). tRNAs cope with the degeneracy of the genetic code in two manners: having more than one tRNA (with a specific anti-codon) for a particular amino acid; and 'wobble' base-pairing, i.e. permitting non-standard base-pairing at the 3rd anti-codon position.
Source: RNAcentral
GCGGGUGUAGUUUAGUGGUAAAACUACAGCCUUCCAUGCUGUUGUCGCGAGUUCGAUUCUCGUCACCCGCU